GGUUACCUGCUCACUUUCUGUCUCUUUCCAAGCUGACAUGGAGCAAGCAGUAAUUUUCCAAGCGUGUCUCACCUGGUGUUUCUGUCACAGAUCUGAGGGACUCCAUGGGACCUACUUGGAGCUCAGGGCUGCUCAAGGGAUCACAGUGGGACCAAGGUGAGGGGCAGCCCUAUGGCAGCCUCAUUUUCCAGCCACCUUCCUGUGGUAUUGCUGUCAGACAAGGUGCGUGGGGAAGGAAAAAGCAUUCCUGUUCUUCAAGAUGAAUCACUGGCAUUGUGUUUUUGUGGACAAAGUGAUCGCCUGAGCUACUCUGCAACAGCUACAGCACCACAGGUAGUCUGGAAUACCUUUUUUUGUAGCACCUCAUGCUUAUUUAAGUCUUCACGUCUUUUUGUUCCAGGUUCAUGCACUUUCAAGUUUCUAAAUUUUACUAGCUAUGUAUAAAUAACCGGGAUCAGUUAUGCAGAUAUGAUUGGUUAUUGUGUUCCUUGCGAUACUGGUGGUUUUACAAACACUUUAUGCUGGACUUACUGAGCCUUAGUACAGAAGGGAAUCAGUUAUACCUCUUUUCAGAAAUGUUAGAGCUGCUUUCUCUAAUUUCAGUCAAAUUUUUAGCAGGAAUAUUGCACUGACCCUAUAAAAGCUGCAAAGAUUUUGAAUGCACAUUCACAUUACACUUCUGUGCAUUUGCUCCGGGCUGUGAGAAGGAUAAUUUAGAGAGGAUGGAGUUUUUCCCUUGCACAAAUUCAUUCGCAUUCACUUCAAAGACCAAAGUGAGCUUCAAACCAAGGUAUGCUCUAUGCAGGCUGUCUUCACAGGGAUGAGUUUUGCCCACCGUGACAGUACCGUCAUAGCCUUGCUCAGAUGAUAACUGAAAACGACUAUGCAGAGGACUGUGUUUCUCCUGAGAUGUACUAAAUGCCUGCUGCUCCGAGGACAUGGGAACCCUUUUAGCCCAUUUCAGGAUAAAACCUUCAAUAUUUAAGAUCCACUCCGGUGUUGCAAGCUCUUAAAAGUAAUGGGCUCUGCUGCUGUAAAGUGAUGUAACUCCAUUGACAUCUAGUUGUUCUCUGGGGCUGGAGCCCAGCAGAUUGAAAUGGGACUGUGCUGAUUUGCAUGAAGACCUGGCUGACUACACUUACAAAUCUGCCUUCUGUGAUCUCCUAUAAACAUGCCUAGUUAGGACACAGUUAAAGCUGAAACCAAACCAGCACUUAGGAAAAAAUGCAUCUGCAGCUCUUGGUCAUCAUCGUUGUAAUUAGGGCUUCAUCUGUUUUGCUUUGCUGCAAGGCCUUUAGAGCAUUAGGGAUGACUAGGGAUAUGAAGAGCAGAUUUAUUGUUAUUAGUUGUAAACCUUGUAGCACAACAGGAAAACAAAACAAAACACAGACAUUAAUCUGUGCCAUGACGUAAAACAUGCAAACAAAUCAUGACAAGUAGCAAUAAUGAGUCAUUUUGUGCUAUAUUUAAUUUCAAAAUGAUCAAACUGUUGGACUACAUAGUGUUAGAACAUACACUAUGGUUGUUCUGCUACAAUAGCUAUCUUCUGCUCUGAGCAGCGCCACCUCCUCCUCUCCUCAGGGCCAGCCUAGGUGGGGCUGUCACCAUGAACAAACCUACCUCUGCACAGAUUUGGGAAAGGUAAGGUCUCCCUGAAAUAAAAACCUCAUAUUGGCAGAAAAAUUCUGCUAU
This 1692-nucleotide long non-coding RNA is filed under the name Anas platyrhynchos platyrhynchos (common mallard). RNAcentral describes it as "lncRNA (ENSAPLG00000031130.1)". The record is from RNAcentral. Lineage: Eukaryota; Metazoa; Chordata; Aves; Anseriformes; Anatidae.